GUCUAAAAGAAUUGUAUAAUAAAAAGAUGAUUACACUUACAAUUUUAUGUUUGUGCGUUACGAAGUAACGUCGUCUAAGUUUAACGUCGUCAAACACUCAGCGUUAGCGUUACUUUAUGUAACGCAAAGAAACACGUUAUAAAUUGCGUUAAAUAAGCUUACAAAAUAUGAUUUUUUAGUAAUAUACAAUUUAACUCAUAUUUAACGUUUGCUUAACGCAACGUUCGUUAUGUCUUAUAUUAAAAUAUACUUACGGAAUACGAAAUCGUAAAACGUAUGUUAUGAGCUCUAUAACGCAUGCGUUAUAACUAUGGAUGCAGUCGAAUAGACGCUAAAAGUUCUUCGAAGCGUUUCGAGUACGGUCGAUUUAACAUUUGGAAACGUUUCAGCAGUAUUAAUGACGUCAUUGAAACGUCAUAGAUAUCCCCUUCCAUUUCGCUUCCAAUGCUACAGCCGGAGAGGUAGUACGGCUAAAGCGUUUAUUUGAAUCCUUGCAAAACGCGGGAAAUGGGGAAUUGCGUGCUAACAACAAGUAAAUUGUACAAGGUAUUGGGUGUAUAUAUGUAAUAUGUGAUAUAUAUAUUUAUAAAUUGAUGUGCAAAAUGCCAAAUCUUUCGUUAUUCGAUCCAAUCAGCCAAAAUACUUACAUUCUACAAGUGUCAGAAGAGGAACUCUCAAAAACUAAUAAAGAUAUGUUGUUUGCAACGCAUCUAUUGCAAAAAAAAUUGAAUCAAACUCAGACAAUUAAUGAAUCAGAAGCUUCAACGUCUUCUUAUGAUGAUAAUAUACAGCAUGACAAUGAGAAAGUGCGGGAACUUUCUGACUUUGAUGAAAAAGAUGGCUUUCGUUGGCCUCAUGAAGCAAUUCUUUUACUUCUUUCUAUAUACCAAAAGCAUGAAGAUAAAAUGACAUCUGGUAAAUAAGAUGCCAGUAAAAAAGUUUUGGGAUUUGAUUUCUAGUCUAUUAAUCGAAAAAGGCCACAAUAUUACUGGUACACAAUGCAAAAGUAAAAUGGCUGGCUUAAAAAAUACAUAUAAAAAUGUCAAGGAUCAUAAUGCAAAGAGCGGUAAUAAUACUCGAACAUGGCGAUAUUUUAAUGUUAUGGAUGAAAUAUUCAACAAAAAAUCAUGGAUGGCUCCAAUUUCUACAUUAGAUUCUGGUAAUCCAAUUCCGAUAUCUUCUGUAGAGGAUAAUAAUAAUGAAAACAUUCCGCCUUCAAUGAGAGCUAAACUGCCUAUCAAACGGAAAAUAAAGCAUACUAUGUUGUAACAAAUGCUUAAGGAAAACAUAAUAGCACGAAAAAAGAUGCAUGAAGAAGCAAUGGCACGACAAGAUAAAUUACUUGAUAUGUUGGGCAAAUUACUUGAGAAAUAACGUAUGGCAUGAGUUGUUUAUUCUGAAGAAGACUGAUUACAUUUAACAUAAUUAUUUUUCUAUAUUACAAUUGUUAAAGUAAUAAUUGAUUCUAAGAAAACUGUUUUAUAAUUAUUUAAGAGGAAAUUUUUGUGUGUGUUGUAGUUUAUUUGUUUUAUGUUACAGUUUUUUUCGUACUAUUAGCAAAGAAAAUAUUUUAAUUUUUGUUAUUACAAACAAAGAGGUUUUUUAUAAUAUCAAUAUGUGAUAAUAUAUAUAAGUUGAAGACAAUAU
This is a long non-coding RNA of Formica exsecta, 1647 nucleotides long. RefSeq lists it as uncharacterized. The record is from RefSeq and is a predicted model, not a curated record. The transcript has 6 exons. Lineage: Eukaryota; Metazoa; Arthropoda; Insecta; Hymenoptera; Formicidae.